UUGAAAGGGAAACGAUUGAAGUCAGUCGUACCUUCGGGUAAUCAGCCUUUCGGGUGCGAUUCUGUGGAGCGUGGGGAGUUAAACGCCUUCAUGCCUGCAUAUUCGUGCACUUUGGGUGUACUUGCCCGUGUGGUAGGUUAACAUCAAUUUCGGAUAUCAUAAAAUGGCUGGAGGAAUGUAGCUUCGGUCUCGUACUGAAGUGUUAUAGCCUCUGGUAGAUGUGAUGACCGGGAUUGAGGAUUGCAACGAAUACCUUUUGGGCUACCCGCCUGAUCUCUGAAAGUUGCUCUGGUGCCGAAAGCUUGCUUACGGUUAUCAAAGUUGACGUUCAAAAGGUUAGAACGGGUUAAAUUCGUUAAGGAUGUUGACGUA
Molecule: ribosomal RNA, 372 nt
Filed under: uncultured Glomeromycotina
Lineage: Eukaryota; Fungi; Glomeromycota
Description: LSU rRNA
Source: RNAcentral